AUCUCCCAAGGGGGUAGGGUUUCCACACAUGCUAGCAUACUUAUCGGAGACUCUGAUUGAAUCCAAAAUUCUAAUCAACCUUAUCAAAAGGAUCCUUGGCCAAUUUUUUUAUAUGUGUGAUUCAUUAGAUUUCAUAUCUAGCUAGUAGUAGGUCUGGAUACAAGUUGACCUAAUUUGAUUAGACUCCAAUCUAACCGAUUUAGGUCCAAUCAAGCUCACCCAAGUUCAACAAUUAGAAUCUUUUUUAAUUGGUAAUUAAAUUAAACUCUUUAAUUCGAUCAAACCUACAAGUCAAGAUUGAUAUCUAGCAACAUAUCAUAACUACUCAGA
RNAcentral lists this long non-coding RNA (330 nucleotides) under Elaeis guineensis (African oil palm). RNAcentral's name for it is "long non-coding RNA (EGUI_LNC065461)". Lineage: Eukaryota; Viridiplantae; Streptophyta; Magnoliopsida; Arecales; Arecaceae. The record is from RNAcentral.